CCACUUGUUUUUUCCUGGCAGUGUCCAAGGAAGACCGGGCAGCAGAGGAGCAAGGAAGGGUGACGGAGGCCCUCAUCUCCACCUUUCUGCAGGGGACUCAAGCUGAUACUGGGAACUUAGCGGACCUUGCUGGGCAGAGGAAAGGUAAGGUAACACACGUGUGUGUUAUGGGGUGGGGGGCACUACAAGUUGCUUAGGUAGCCCCUCAGAUGCUGUGU
This 218-nucleotide long non-coding RNA is filed under the name Dasypus novemcinctus (nine-banded armadillo). RNAcentral describes it as "lncRNA (ENSDNOG00000052763.1)". The record is from RNAcentral. Lineage: Eukaryota; Metazoa; Chordata; Mammalia; Cingulata; Dasypodidae.